CUACGGGGCGCUGCAGUGAGGAAUAUUGCACAAUGGGGGGAACCCUGAUGCAGCAACGCCGCGUGGAGGAUGACGCAUUUCGGUGUGUAAACUCCUUUUAUAUGUCAAGAAAAUGACGGUAGCAUAUGAAUAAGCACCGGCUAACUCCGUGCCAGCAGCCGCGGUAAUACGGAGGGUGCAAGCGUUACUCGGAAUCACUGGGCGUAAAGGACGCGUAGGCGGGUUGGAAAGUCAGGUGUGAAAUCCUACAGCUUAACUGUAGAACUGCACUUGAAACUUCCAAUCUAGAGUAUGGGAGGGGGAGAUGGAAUUAGUGGUGUAGGGGUAAAAUCCGUAGAUAUCACUAGGAAUACCUAAAGCGAAGGCGAUCUCCUGGAACAUUACUGACGCUAAGGCGUGAAAGCGUGGGGGGCAAACAGGAUUAGAUACCCCAGUAGUC
Molecule: ribosomal RNA, 439 nt
Filed under: uncultured bacterium
Lineage: Bacteria
Description: partial 16S ribosomal RNA
Rfam family: Bacterial small subunit ribosomal RNA
Source: RNAcentral